Molecule: ribosomal RNA, 620 nt
Filed under: Hepatozoon canis
Lineage: Eukaryota; Apicomplexa; Hepatozoidae
Description: SSU rRNA
Rfam family: Eukaryotic small subunit ribosomal RNA
Source: RNAcentral
AUACAUGAGCAAAAUCUCAACUUUAUUAGAAGAGACGCAUUUAUUAGAUAAAAAGCCAAUGCAUGCUUUUACAGUAUGAAAAUUGGUGAUUUAUAAUAACUUAGCAAAUCGCAUAGUGAAAACAGGCGAUAAAUCAUUCAAGUUUCUGACCUAUCAGCUUUCGACGGUAUGGUAUUGGCUUACCGUGGCAGUGACGGUUAACGGGGGAUUAGGGUUCGAUUCCGGAGAGGGAGCCUGAGAAACGGCUACCACAUCUAAGGAAGGCAGCAGGCGCGCAAAUUACCCAAUUCUAACAGUUUGAGAGAGGUAGUAACAAGAAAUAACAAUACAAGGCAGUUAAAAUGCUUUGUAAUUGGAAUGAUAGAAAUUUAAACCCUUUUUAAAGUAUCAAUUGGAGGGCAAGUCUGGUGCCAGCAGCCGCGGUAAUUCCAGCUCCAAUAGCGUAUAUUAAAAUUGUUGCAGUUAAAAAGCUCGUAGUUGAAGUUCUGCUAAAAGUAACCGGUCUGCUUUGAAUAAAAGUGGUAUCUUGGUAUGUAUUUAGCAAUGAUGUCCUUUGAAGUGUUUUUUACUUUAUUGUAAUAAAGCAUAUUCAGGACUUUUACUUUGAGAAAAUUAGAGUG